UUUGUUCUAUAAAGUGAACUAUAAGCAACAUGAUGAAGCUUGAUCUAAGUCUCUAAUGGAGAAGAUCAAUGACCAGCUACAUCUUCUUCAUCAAGUUGAAGAGACCAUGGUAUUGUAUUAUUACAAAUAAACUACCUCAUAAAAUCUUGUUGAUAUUUUUCUACUUGUGUGAACUUUUGGAAACUUUUACUUGCAGGUGGCUGGGAAGAAGACUGAAGUUUGUUUACCUAACAAGUUGCCUUGGUUCAAGAAUUGCGCGCAAACUAGUUUGAUGUUCAUCAACCAUCAAGAGUGAAGCAUGCAUACCAAUCAGCAUUACUGCUAUUCAUCCAAAAGUAUGAAUUAGAAGGACAUUGCUAUAUAUUUCAUUGGCAAGUCAGUCAACUUGGCUAUUACAUUACAUAAUUCAACCAUUUUUUUUUUUCGCCAUUACAAUGUAUAUUUGAACUGUCUUUCCUUGAAAUAUAUUGAAUCAAUCUAAUGAAGAUUUGCAAUGUUCUUAUUAGUUAUCUGUAAUUCUGAAAGAUAAAAUGAUGGUGGUUUGAUGAGCAUUUGGGAAGAUGAGCAAAAAAGCCC
RNAcentral lists this long non-coding RNA (576 nucleotides) under Aquilegia coerulea. RNAcentral's name for it is "long non-coding RNA (ACOE_LNC000351)". The record is from RNAcentral. Lineage: Eukaryota; Viridiplantae; Streptophyta; Magnoliopsida; Ranunculales; Ranunculaceae.